AAACCAGCCCUAACACGCCAGAGCCCCAUCUCUCAGGAGGGCCCAGAAGCUAGACAACUUAAGCCACUCCUUGGCCUCCCCAGCCAGGGGCCUGGGCAGGAAAGAUGGGGUGGUGGACUGUUUUUGCCUACUUUUUGUUUUUGAAAAACAUGCACUCCCCACUCUGAGGCCUGGGGUUCUUUUUGCAUCUGUGGGGCCCUGGAGUGGUGGGAAGCAGGGCUUGGCUACACCCUGACCUUUAUCCUGGAUGCUCCCCUGCACCCUUGCUAGGCAGGGCUAGCUCCACUGGGCUCCCCAUCACUCUGCUGGACAGCAGGCUUGCCCCAUUCUGUGAGAGAGCCAUCUCUGGAGGACCCCCCACCCCCAUCCUGUCUGCUGGAGCUAACCUUCCAGCUUGCAGAAGUUUCCAGGGGAAGUAGGUAUCUCAAGGGCCUUGACUUUAUUUAUCUAAGGUGGAGAAGCUGGGGGUGGCCUCAAAUCACCCCCAAACUCCAGGAAACAGAGACCAGAGGUGGUAGAGAGCCAGGCGCAGAGAUGCAGUUUAUUCGUGACCUCUGCUGGCCACUCAUACCUGCGCAAGCUCCACAGGCUGACCUGCCAUGUCCACCCCAUGCCCAGAGGGGCUUCUAGUCCUGGAUGUGCCCUCACCCAGCCCCUGGGAGAAGGCCCUGUAACAACAGGUGAAGAGGGGGCUGACUGAGCCUCAGCAACUGCUGCAGAUACUGUCCCCUGACAAUGUA
This is a long non-coding RNA of Nomascus leucogenys (northern white-cheeked gibbon), 740 nucleotides long. RefSeq lists it as uncharacterized. The transcript is spliced from 2 exons. The record is from RefSeq and is a predicted model, not a curated record. NCBI's taxonomy places the organism in Eukaryota, Metazoa, Chordata, Mammalia, Primates, Hylobatidae.